RNAcentral lists this ribosomal RNA (492 nucleotides) under uncultured bacterium. RNAcentral describes it as "partial 16S ribosomal RNA". It matches the Rfam family "Bacterial small subunit ribosomal RNA", at positions 29 to 507 of the family's 1533-position model. The record is from RNAcentral.
AGUGAACGCUGGCGGUAGGCCUAACACAUGCAAGUCGAACGGCAGCACAGUAAGAGCUUGCUCUUACGGGUGGCGAGUGGCGGACGGGUGAGGAAUACAUCGGAAUCUACUUUUUCGUGGGGGAUAACGUAGGGAAUCUUACGCUAAUACCGCAUACGACCUACGGGUGAAAGCAGGGGAUCUUCGGACCUUGCGCGAUUGAAUGAGCCGAUGUCGGAUUAGCUAGUUGGCGGGGUAAAGGCCCACCAAGGCGACGAUCCGUAGCUGGUCUGAGAGGAUGAUCAGCCACACUGGAACUGAGACACGGUCCAGACUCCUACGGGAGGCAGCAGUGGGGAAUAUUGGACAAAGGGCGCAAGCCUGAUCCAGCCAUACCGCGUGGGUGAAGAAGGCCUUCGGGUUGUAAAGCCCUUUUGUUGGGAAAGAAAAGCAGCAGGUUAAUACCCCGCUGUUCUGACGGUACCCAAAGAAUAAGCACCGGCUAACUUCGUG